Lathyrus oleraceus (garden pea) is the source of this 107-nucleotide small nucleolar RNA. NCBI's taxonomy places the organism in Eukaryota, Viridiplantae, Streptophyta, Magnoliopsida, Fabales, Fabaceae. The record is from RefSeq and is a predicted model, not a curated record.
AUGCCAUGGUGGGAACAUUCUCUAAGCAUCUCCUUAAAUCUUUCUCAAACAUCAAAUAGGGAUUCAUCCUCUCCUUGUCCAAAUGAUGUUAUCUUAUUCCUCAUUCU